Long non-coding RNA from Herpailurus yagouaroundi (jaguarundi), 665 nucleotides. RefSeq lists it as uncharacterized. The record is from RefSeq and is a predicted model, not a curated record. The transcript is spliced from 3 exons. Lineage: Eukaryota; Metazoa; Chordata; Mammalia; Carnivora; Felidae.
UAGUCUAGUUCCUUUUUGGAGCUUGGGAACCGGGGCGGGAGAAUGGCGUCCCUCAAGACCCUCGUGGAUGUGGUUCUCUCAGGCCAACGUUCCUUCCUCGGGGACUGUCCUGGAGAGGCUUUGGCCCUUACCUCUCCCCAGCUCAGCCCCUAGGCCACAGCUCUGGGUCAUACAGCCUCCUAAAAUCCUGAGCUGUUCUUUACUGUGCCACAUUUUUAUCACAUUUGAGUGCCUGCUGUGUGCCAUGCACGUUUCUAAUCCUUAAAUGGAUGAAACAAAAGCCUUAGAUGUUACAGUGGAGAAGAAAAAUCAAGACAAAAAUACCCAAUAUAUCUUAGGGUGACAAAUGCUAAGGAGAAAAACGGAGGAAGGAGUCCCUUCUCUCACUGAUGAGUCUGAAGAAGGAACUGGGCUAUGAUGGGCAGCCUCCCCCCACAACUCUGAGACCGGCUGACCUAUACAACCUCGUGGACGCACCCAGAAGUGAUGGUUUACCAGCUCCCCGAGCCUCCCUGAGCCCAGUCAAGUUGAUGCAGAAAGUUACCCAUCACAAGUCUUGGGAUAAGAUCGUCCUGGAUUCUCCAGUGGCAUAAAUCCAAUGACAGAUGUCCUUAGGAGGACAGGAAAAGGCAGAGAGAAGUAUGAGACACGUAGACAGGUAAAGA